Molecule: transfer RNA, 95 nt
Filed under: Blastocystis hominis
Lineage: Eukaryota; Bigyra; Opalinata; Blastocystidae
Rfam family: tRNA
About the family: Transfer RNA (tRNA) molecules are approximately 80 nucleotides in length.
Source: Rfam by way of RNAcentral
AGGUUUAUAGCUCAAUGGGAGAGCUACCGAUCUUUCAAGACCGUGCUUGGAUCUCUAUGCUUCGGUAGACGCAAGUUCGAUUCUUGCAAAAUCUC